RNAcentral lists this unclassified non-coding RNA (67 nucleotides) under Ralstonia solanacearum. RNAcentral's name for it is "suhB". Lineage: Bacteria; Pseudomonadati; Pseudomonadota; Betaproteobacteria; Burkholderiales; Burkholderiaceae. The record is from RNAcentral.
CGGCGGUGCCUUUUGAGGGCACCGCCUCUUUGGCGCCGGGCAUGUCGGCGCCUUCUUUUUUGUCCGC